This 2976-nucleotide long non-coding RNA is filed under the name Aplysia californica (California sea hare). RNAcentral's name for it is "uncharacterized LOC106013302". The record is from RNAcentral. Lineage: Eukaryota; Metazoa; Mollusca; Gastropoda; Aplysiida; Aplysiidae.
UUUUUCAUAAACAAGAUGGCGACCUGCAAGAAUGUAAACAAACAGGAUUUUUUUGAAUUGCGUUUGAAAUUGACGUGUCCCACUUGCUGCUUUGCAAAGUCAAAUAGAUCUAGAUCUAGAUCUAGAAUCUAGUCCCGGUCGGAAACAGUGUUGAGGUUUCUCUAAAGAACAAUGUUCUUCAGAAGCAUUCGCAGAGCCUUAGUGCUAGUCACUGCAGCUGUUGCCAUUCCCUACACUGUACCAAUCGUCUGUCAUGAUAUUUUAAUGCAACAUUUCAAAAAGAUGUGCAGAAAACUCAAGUACAAUAAUCAGAAGACCCGCAAAAUCGAGAUAGGAGAUGAGGAGGAAGAAGAUGAUUGGGAAGAAUAUAUACAUUUGAGACACUCAAAAUGAACUCAGUGAAAACAGAGGACAAAGCCUUCGCAACCUUUGGCAUCCAACUUCCAUGACUGGUCAGCAUAAAUCUAGAAAUGAAGUUGCAAGACAGAUCCAAGAAUGCUGCAAAUGCUGGAUCUAGCCCCAAAAGCAACCCUCACAAAACUCUAGAAAAUCCCAAAGCCUCCCUGAUGACCCAAUACCCUGACACCUUCAAUGGAAUUGGGAAGUUUCAAGGAAAAUACCACAUUCAUAUAGACCCACAGUCCCAAAGGCCACCCAUCCACAAAGGAAAAUACCCCUCAAACUAAAGGACAAAAGACAGAACUGGAUGAGAUGGGAACAAUGGGAAUCAUCAAGAGAAUCAAGGUGGGAGAACCCACGUACAGCUUGGGUGAACAGCUUGGUAUACAGAGAGAAACCAUCGGGAUGGCUAUGUCUUUUCCUAGACCCCAAAGACCUCAACAAAGCAAUACUGAGGGAGCAUCACACCACACCAACUCUGGAAGAAAUUUUGCCACACCUCUGCGGAGCAAGGUACUUCUCCAUACUUGAUGCAAAAUGUGGAUACUGGAACGUUGAGCUUGAUGACAAUUCAAGUUAUCUGACCACAUUCAAUUCUCCAUUUGGCCGAUACCGAUUUCUAAGAAUGCCCUUUGGACUUUGAAUGAGCCAAGACGUUUUCCAAGCGAAAAUUGAUCAGACAUUUGAAGGCUGCAAAGGUAUGAUUGGCUUUGCAGACAAUAUCGUGGUGUUUGGGAAAACUGCAGAAGAACAUAACGCAAACCUACAGAACAUGAUACUUCGGUGUAAGGAAACUGGACUCAAGCUGAACCCAGACAAAUGCAGAAUCAAGGAAAACCACUUCAGGUUCUACGGCAUAAUCUGCACAGGCGAAGGGAUCGAGCCUGACCCAGCAAAGGUCGAAGCCAUCAAGGCUAUGAAAGCUCCAGAAAAUGAGAAAGAGCUACAAUCCUUCCUGGGUCUAGCGACAUACAUGGGCCCCUUCAUCCAAACCAUCAGCCAGCUCUCAACACCACUAAGAGAACUCCUUUCCAAGUCGAACAAGUUUGAGUGGACAGUUAACCACCAAAAUGCUUUCCAGAAGGUCAAGGACUCAAUUACAAGGAGGUCAUGCUCACCUACUUCAAUCCGGAAAAACCAAUCACAUUGCAAGUAGAUGCAUCCAUGAAAGCACUUGGUGCUACACUCCUGCAAGAUGGUAAGCCAGUAGCAUUUGCCAGCAAAACCCUCACAGAUGAAGAAACGCGAUACGCCAACAUCGAACAUGAACUCCUCGCUGUGGUAUACCGGUGUGAACGGUUCCAUACAUACCUGUACGCACAGACAUUCGAAGUUGAAUCUGACCACCGCCCUCUCCAGUCGAUCCAGCUAAAGCAUCUCAAGGCAGCACCCCCCAGACUCCAGAGAAUGCUACUAAGACUGCAACCAUAUGAUUUCCAAUUCAUCUACAAACCAGGAAAACAGAUGCUUAUCGCUGACGCCCUGUCCAGACUCCCUGGAAAUGAGAAGGAACUAAUAGAGGGCCUGAAUGUCAAGAUCCACACUAUAGCGACACUGUUCAGUGGAAAUUAUCUGCAACGUAUAAAAGAUGCUAUCGCCACAGACACAGAACUGAUGGCCCUGAAAGACUUACUCUACUUUGGCUGACCAGAGAAACAAUAAGAUGUACCUUAUCAAUGCAAAGCCUACUAGAACUAUCGGGAUGAAAUAUCCAUUGAUGAUGGAAUUCUCAUCAAGGGAUCAAGGAUAAUCAUCCCUAAAUCUAUGAAAGAAGAGGUUAUGAAGAAACUCUAUGAACCACAUCUUGGUACAGAGAAAACAAAGCUCCGCGCCAGACAGACAGUUUUUUGGCCAAAUAUCAACAAAGAAAUAGACCUAACAGUCUCAGAAUGCCAAGUGUGCCAAAAACACCAGGCAAGUCAACAAAAAGAACCCCUCAUCCUAUCAGAGAUACCACCUAGACCAUGGCACACCAUAGGCACUGAUCUAUUCUACCUGAAUGACGAUGAAUACCUUCUCAUCAGCGACUACUAUUCGAAGUUUCCGAUUGUCAGCAAAGUGUCAAAAGACACCAGCAACGGCACAACAAGAGUUAUCACCUUCUUGAAACAAGCUUUCAGUGAGCAUGGAAUCCCAGAAAUUGUGCGAUCUGACAAUGGACCACAUUUCAGCGGAACUGCCUUCAGAGAAUUUGCAACAACUUAUAGAUUCCAGCACAAAACAAGUUCACCCCAUUAUCCAAAAAGUAACGGUUUCAUCGAGAGCCAAGUGAAACUCGUGAAACGUACCUUAAAAAAGGCUUUUUGAAACAUCCCAAGACCCAUACCUGAGCCUUCUUGCUCUUAGAACAACACCAAUCAACAACAGCUUACCUUCUCCUAGACAAAUGCUUUUCAACAGACAACUGCGAGACACAAUGCCAAGAAAGAUACAUCGCGCUGCUAACAAUGAACAAAUUGAGAAAGGACUAGAGAAAAGGCAGGAAACACAAUAGUACCACUUUGACCAAAGCACAAAGAUAUUGCCGCCUUUAUCAAGAAACGAACAUGUGACAGUACAAAUCCCAAAAACAAAAAA